UGUGAAUAAAAGCUAAACCCAAACCGAUCCAUAAUCCAUAUUUUCCUAGCUAGCUAGCCGCUAACAAAAAGUCAACGAAAAUGGCGUUGGUGAAGCCGCUUAUGUUAGGAUUAGUAGCCUUAAUCCUUAUGGCAUCAGCAAUAGCAGUUAAUGGUGGGUGGUGGUGCUCGGAGAAAGAAGAGAUUUGCUCGCAAGUAAUUUCCGUUUUCCAACCAAACUGUUGCGAAGGCAAUACUUAUUGUUCCUAUAACGCUGGGGUUGGAAUAUGUUGUGAGGAAAACAAAGAAAUUCAUAUUGGUUUUCAGUGCGUGCCGUAUCAGGAAGAUCCUUAGCCAAUGAAACCAUGGCUUCUCAUCGAUCUUCGUGGUCCACAUAUCUGCCUGGAAUUGUUUCAACUUUAAUUAAACUAUCAUCUGCUCUUUUUAAAUCGUCAAUUGUUUCUUGUGUUCUUUUUUUUUUUUUUGUUUUGUUAUUGCACCAUUGGAUUUUGA
Long non-coding RNA from Spinacia oleracea (spinach), 491 nucleotides. RefSeq lists it as uncharacterized. The record is from RefSeq and is a predicted model, not a curated record. The transcript has 2 exons. NCBI's taxonomy places the organism in Eukaryota, Viridiplantae, Streptophyta, Magnoliopsida, Caryophyllales, Amaranthaceae.